GACGAACGCUUGCGGCGUGCUUAACACAUGCAAGUCGAACGGAAAGGCCCUGCUUUUGUGGGGUGCUCGAGUGGCGAACGGGUGAGUAACACGUGAGUAACCUGCCCUUGACUUUGGGAUAACUUCAGGAAACUGGGGCUAAUACCGGAUAGGAGCUCCUGCUGCAUGGUGGGGGUUGGAAAGUUUCGGCGGUUGGGGAUGGACUCGCGGCUUAUCAGCUUGUUGGUGGGGUAGUGGCUUACCAAGGCUUUGACGGGUAGCCGGCCUGAGAGGGUGACCGGCCACAUUGGGACUGAGAUACGGCCCAGACUCCUACGGGAGGCAGCAGUGGGGAAUAUUGCACAAUGGGCGGAAGCCUGAUGCAGCAACGCCGCGUGCGGGAUGACGGCCUUCGGGUUGUAAACCGCUUUCGCCUGUGACGAAGCGUGAGUGACGGUAAUGGGUAAAGAAGCACCGGCUAACUACGUGCCAGCAGCCGCGGUGAUACGUAGGGUGCGAGCGUUGUCCGGAUUUAUUGGGCGUAAAGGGCUCGUAGGUGGUUGAUCGCGUCGGAAGUGUAAUCUUGGGGCUUAACCCUGAGCGUGCUUUCGAUACGGGUUGACUUGAGGAAGGUAGGGGAGAAUGGAAUUCCUGGUGGAGCGGUGGAAUGCGCAGAUAUCAGGAGGAACACCAGUGGCGAAGGCGGUUCUCUGGGCCUUUCCUGACGCUGAGGAGCGAAAGCGUGGGGAGCGAACAGGCUUAGAUACCCUGGUAGUCCAUGCUGUAAACGGUGGGUACUAGGUGUGGGGUCCAUUCCACGGGUUCCGUGCCGUAGCUAACGCUUUAAGUACCCCGCCUGGGGAGUACGGCCGCAAGGCUAAAACUCAAAGGAAUUGACGGGGCCCCGCACAAGCGGCGGAGCAUGCGGAUUAAUUCGAUGCAACGCGUAGAACCUUACCUGGGUUUGACAUGGAUCGGGAGUGCUCAGAGAUGGGUGUGCCUCUUUUGGGGUCGGUUCACAGGUGGUGCAUGCCUGUCGUCAGCUCGUGUCGUGAGAUGUUGGGUUAAGUCCCGCAACGAGCGCAACCCUUGUUCACUGUUGCCAGCACGUUAUGGUGGGGACUCAGUGGAGACCGCCGGGGUCAACUCGGAGGAAGGUGGGGAUGACGUCAAGUCCUCAUGCCCCUUAUGUCCAGGGCUUCACGCAUGCUACAAUGGCUGGUACAGAGAGUGGCGAGCCUGUGAGGGUGAGCGAAUCUCGGAAAGCCGGUCUCAGUUCGGAUUGGGGUCUGCAACUCGACCUCAUGAAGUCGGAGUCGCUAGUAAUCGCAGAUCAGCAACGCUGCGGUGAAUACGUUCCCGGG
RNAcentral lists this ribosomal RNA (1343 nucleotides) under uncultured bacterium. RNAcentral's name for it is "16S ribosomal RNA". It matches the Rfam family "Bacterial small subunit ribosomal RNA", at positions 28 to 1378 of the family's 1533-position model. The record is from RNAcentral.